This 22-nucleotide microRNA is filed under the name Oreochromis niloticus (Nile tilapia). RNAcentral describes it as "oni-miR-10884". The record is from miRBase by way of RNAcentral. Lineage: Eukaryota; Metazoa; Chordata; Actinopteri; Cichliformes; Cichlidae.
AAAGGCUGAGUUGUGAGACUGC